RNAcentral lists this ribosomal RNA (494 nucleotides) under uncultured bacterium. RNAcentral's name for it is "bacterial SSU rRNA". It matches the Rfam family "Bacterial small subunit ribosomal RNA", at positions 903 to 1397 of the family's 1533-position model. The record is from RNAcentral.
AAAUGAAUUGACGGGGGCCCGCACAAGCGGUGGAGCAUGUUGCUUAAUUCGAGGCAACGCGAAGAACCUUACCCAGGUUUGACAUUGAUCCGGCCGGCGUUGAAAGGCGCCCUCCCUUCGGGGCGGAUCAACAGAUGCUGCAUGGCUGUCGUCAGCUCGUGCCGUGAGGUGUUCGGUUAAGUCCGGCAACGAGCGCAACCCGUGCCGCCAGUUGCCAUCAGGUGAUGCUGGGGACUCUGGCGGGACCGCCCGUGUCAAGCGGGAGGAGGGCGCGGAUGACGUCAAGUCCGUAUGGCUCCUACGCCUGGGGCUGCAAACGUGCUACAAUGGCCGGUACAGCGGGGCGCCAGUCCGCGAGGACGAGCGGAUCCCCAAAGCCGGCCCCAGUUCGGAUCGCAGUCUGCAACUCGACUGCGUGAAGCCGGAAUCGCUAGUAAAGGGGCAUCAGCCACGGCCCCUUGAAUACGUUCCCGGGCCUUGUACACACCGCCCGU